This 415-nucleotide ribosomal RNA is filed under the name uncultured bacterium. RNAcentral's name for it is "bacterial SSU rRNA". It matches the Rfam family "Bacterial small subunit ribosomal RNA", at positions 355 to 787 of the family's 1533-position model. The record is from RNAcentral.
UGGGGGAUAUUGCACAAUGGGGGAAACCCUGAUGCAGCAACGCCGCGUGAAGGAAGAAGGUCUUCGGAUUGUAAACUUCUGUCCUCAGGGAAGAUAAUGACGGUACCUGAGGAGGAAGCUCCGGCUAACUACGUGCCAGCAGCCGCGGUAAUACGUAGGGAGCGAGCGUUGUCCGGAUUUACUGGGUGUAAAGGGUGCGUAGGCGGAUCUGCAAGUCAGUAGUGAAAUCCCAGGGCUUAACCCUGGAACUGCUAUUGAAACUGUGGGUCUUGAGUGAGGUAGAGGCGGCCGGAAUUCCCGGUGUAGCGGUGAAAUGCGUAGAGAUCGGGAGGAACACCAGUGGCGAAGGCGGCCUGCUGGGCCUUAACUGACGCUGAGGCACGAAAGCAUGGGUAGCAAACAGGAUUAGAUACCC